Molecule: ribosomal RNA, 253 nt
Filed under: uncultured bacterium
Lineage: Bacteria
Description: partial 16S ribosomal RNA
Rfam family: Bacterial small subunit ribosomal RNA
Source: RNAcentral
UACGUAGGUGGCAAGCGUUGUCCGGAUUUAUUGGGGUUAAAGGGUGCGUAGGUGGCCCUGUAAGUCAGUGGUGAAAUAUCUCAGCUUAACUGAGAGGGUGCCAUUGAUACUGCAGGGCUUGAGUACAGAUGAGGUAGGCGGAAUUGACGGUGUAGCGGUGAAAUGCAUAGAUAUCGUCAAGAACACCGAUAGCGAAGGCAGCUUACCAAGCUGUAACUGACACUGAGGCACGAAAGUGUGGGGAUCAAACAGG